This 91-nucleotide transfer RNA is filed under the name Longispora fulva. RNAcentral's name for it is "tRNA-Tyr". Lineage: Bacteria; Bacillati; Actinomycetota; Actinomycetes; Micromonosporales; Micromonosporaceae. The record is from RNAcentral.
GCUGGCCGUAGCUCGGCUGCUGGGGCUGCUGGCCGUAGUUCGGCGGCGGCUGCGGGGCGGCGUAGGGGUCGUUCUGCUGCGGUGGCUGGCG